AUGGCUAUAUAUACACCAAACAAAGGGCUAGUUAGCACUUCUGUGUGGCUAAGCUGUGUACAACCACAUCACACAAAUGAGUAUGGCGGUGCCGGGUGCCACCGUGAGGGCUUCAAGCUUGCCUGUAACAAGACAUAUCAUCCCCCAAAGCUCUUCAUGAACAGUUCUGGCGUCGAAGUGCUUGAAAUAUCAGUGCAAGACAGCACCCUGUACAUUGACAGUGGGAUCCUCACCUUGGCGGGGGAUGAGUGGCCCGACGGUUACAUCCAUAUGAAUUGGUCAGUCCCCCUCGAUGACAGCCUAUAUAGGGUGUUAGCAGGCAGGAAUAAAAUCGUUGUUACGGGGUGUGGAAUCAUUGUGAUUCUUCAAUGGCAUUCUCCCGGCACAGAACCUGCAGGUACCACUUGUCACCCAGGAUGCAUGCCGGGUCAUCCUGUGAUAGCAACUGAUGGCACAUGUGCUGGUGUUGGUUGUUGCAGUGCAAUGAACGUGCAACCUGACUCAAAUAUGUUUUCCAUCAAGUACACUAGUACAGCGUGGAGAAAGAGAACUUGCAGGUCAACUCAAGUCUUGCUUUGGUGGAGAGCAAAUGGUGGAGCAAGAAGAAGAAUGCCAUGGUACUGCAGAAGGCGGUAUCAUCUGACACCAGCCUUGGUGCCUCCAAAGGCGUACUACACUCCAUACCAGGAGUACCGUGACAAUAGCGAGUGCCUUGUGUACCAUAAACCCGACGACUCAAGAGGAGGUUACACAUGCCAGUGUUGGCAUGGCUACGAAGGCAACCCUUACGUGCAACACGGAUGCCAAGAUAUCGACGAGUGUACAAGUCAAGGCGAGUACUCCUGCUUUGGCCAGUGCAUCAAUCUGAUAGGGUCAUAUACCUGUACCUGUCCGCAUGGCACCACUGGAUUUGCCAUUGCGGUAGGAAUCGACAGCGGUGUAGGCACUCUUCUAAUUAUCCUCAGUGUUCUGAUUCUUGUGGACAAGGAUAUCGCUGAAAGGAUGAUGUUCAGCUUAGAAGAGCUUGAGAAGGCAACAAAUAAGUUUGACGAGGCUCGAAAACUUGGAGGUGGAGGCCACGGCACUGUCUACAAAGGGAUUUUAUCUGACAAUCGUGUUGUUGCCAUCAAAAAGUCAAAAGUUGUAAUUCAGAGAGAGACAGAUGAUUUCAUCAAUGAGGUUGCUAUCCUUUCUCAAGUGAACCACAGGAACUGCCUUGCUUAUCUGCACUCAGCUGCUUCAGUAUCAAUAGUCCAUAGAGAUAUCAAGUCUGCCAACGUACUACUUGACGAUCGCCUCACAGCAAAAGUAUCAGACUUUGGAGCUUCUCGAGGCAUCCCCAUUGAUCAAACAGGAGUUACAACUGCGGUUCAAGGAACUUUUGGAUAUUUGGAUCCGGAGUACUACCACACUCGGCGACUCACCGAGAAAAGUGAUGUGUAUAGCUUUGGUGUCAUGCUUGUGGAGCUAUUAACAAGGAAGAAGCCAUGUGUCCACCUGUCAACACCAGGAGCCAGUCUAACUGCUGAAUUCAUCUUGCGAGUGAACCAAGACAAACUCUUUGAGAUGCUAGACCAGCAAGUUGAGACAAAACUUGAAGUGAUGCAAACUGUGGAAAAUAAUACACCAAUGGAACAGAACAAUGCCAAUGCUGAUGAUGACAACUUCAGUAGGCGAUAUAGUAUGGAGCAAGAAUGCAUGUCAUCUAUGAGUUUGCCUCGGUAA
RNAcentral lists this ribosomal RNA (1725 nucleotides) under Triticum aestivum (bread wheat). RNAcentral describes it as "partial small subunit ribosomal RNA". Lineage: Eukaryota; Viridiplantae; Streptophyta; Magnoliopsida; Poales; Poaceae. The record is from RNAcentral.